GUUAAAAUUCAAUUUUAAUAUAAACUUAUACAAGUGAUUGAAUUGCUCUAUACAUAAAAAGAAUAAUGAAUGUGCAGUACUGGGUUAUAUUAAGAUAAGGUAAUUGAGGUUUGUCGACAAAGAGAUUAUUUGCAAGUGGACUGUUAUGAAAGCUUUUAGAAGUUUGUUUGUUCUUCUUUACGAAGGCAUAAUAUUCAAUGGCCAAGAAUCAAAUUAGAUGGAAACUGAUUUUGCAUGCGUCUUAGGUUCUAUUUCACAUUAUUCUGGUAGCCAAACUUAAGAAAAAAGUAUUGUUUGAGUCCAUUAAUUAUUAGUAAGAUGUAAUGAUUUCAUUUAUCUUCGACUACUUAUGUAUUUUUAGUAUAUAAUUAUUUUUUAUUUAAUUACUGUUAUUUUUAUCCACCAGUAGAAGGGUUUGUGCAGUUUUUGAUGUGUUAUGUAUGUGGGUAUGAAAUUAGCUUUCUUGUGAUCAGUGCGGUUUAUUUCAAUGAUAUUAGAAGACAGUGACACAUCUAAAGUCUAAAUUCUGAACUGAUAAAUGGUAACCUUAGUCAUAUA
RNAcentral lists this unclassified non-coding RNA (558 nucleotides) under Hevea brasiliensis (rubber tree). The record is from RNAcentral. Lineage: Eukaryota; Viridiplantae; Streptophyta; Magnoliopsida; Malpighiales; Euphorbiaceae.